RNAcentral lists this ribosomal RNA (305 nucleotides) under uncultured bacterium. RNAcentral's name for it is "bacterial SSU rRNA". It matches the Rfam family "Bacterial small subunit ribosomal RNA", at positions 338 to 641 of the family's 1533-position model. The record is from RNAcentral.
CCUCCGGGGGGCAGCAGUGCGGAAUAUUGGUCAAUGGUCGGGAGCCUGAACCCGCCCCUCCUCUUUCUGGCUGAAGGUACAGAGUAUCGUAAACCUCUUUUGUCAGGGAACAAAGGCGGGGACGUGUCCCCGGAUGAGUGUACCUGAAGAAAAAGCAUCGGCUAACUCCGUGCCAGCAGCCGCGGUAAUACGGAGGAUGCGAGCGUUAUCCGGAUUUAUUGGGUUUAAAGGGGGCGCAGGCGGUCUGUUAAGGCAGCGGUCAAAGCCCGGGGCUCAACCCCGGCCCGACGUGGAAAACGGCAGUC